CCGUCCACCACCUCCCCUCCGCUGGUUUUUCCGUCGCGGCAGAACCAAUCCCUCGCUAGCCCUACCUCGUCUCCCGUCUCCAGUCGCAGCCGCCGCCGCACCCCAAUCCAACCCCGCCGCCGGCGAUCUCCUCGCCCCCCUGCGCCGCCGCCCCCAACCUUCUAUUCUUCUCCCAAGGGAAUCCCAAGGGAAGGGAAGGGAAGGCAAGGGAAGGGAAGGGAGAGGGAGCGCCCAGAUCCACGGCGGCAUCAGCGCGCCGUCGUCACCUGAUCCGCGUCCGUCCUCGAGGGAGGUCGGCCAUGGAGGUCCGACCCAGCCCGGCAGCAGCCAUGGACGGACGGAGAUGCCCCAAACCCUACCCUCAAGGACGACGCCUCAACCUUCAAGGACGCGCGCCGGCGACCGCGGAUCUCCGGUGACGGCUAUGGAUGACUGCCCCGGAUCUGGACGCACAACCUGCAGCUGCAGCAGCAGCUGGACGACCGCUUAUGUCCUGGAUUUCAUCUUUUCUCCUUUCUCUGAUUUACUCAUACACAACUCCUGACUUGCUGCAUGUGGCUGCUGAAUCUUCCUACUGCAGGUGUGCCUUACACAUGUUCGUUGAGUUGCUUAAUGACAUAAAAAAAUUUUGAAACCUGGAGUUAUGCAACUGCAGCAACAAGGACGGAUGGCCAUCUUCACAGGUUUUGCAAGUAAUUGAAGCGCUUUUUGAGUAGAGGAUAAUUAGAGAUAUAAAGUUCUACCUCAGAUCUUGGGGAAUUAAUCCAUCUCGCUGUACUACCAACUCCGUCAGCCGCUCCUGCUCCAUACGCACAAUCUCGUCGAUGUACCAGAUUUCUUUAAGACCCACUGAAUAUUAGACGGACGUGCUCUACCUUGGCCUCAAGGGUGUUCAUCUACUUGUUGCCGUGCUCUGGAAUCUGGACGAUGCACUAAUGCAGUGAGCACAAGCCUGCAACCUUGAAGGAAAAUCCAUUGCCGCUGAUGACAUGAUACUAUGGGCAUCUUGGCAGCCGCCACUAGAGCAACACAUCCCUGAGCGAGCAGAUGAUGCAUAGGGGCACCUAUGGAAGAAGAGGUCGGGGAUGGUAGACAAGGGCGUGGACGCCGGUGCGGGCUCCUUAAAGCCUUCGAGGAGGAUGUCGCGGUCGGGCCCGGGGGCGGCUGCACUAGAGACACCAUGGUCAUUGCAUUCUAACAGUAUCUGCAUGAGCAGAGAAGACCAAGACCAAGUGAAGGUCACAUGGACGUGUGAAUCAGUGGGCAAGCCUCAUUUUUCUUCUAUACAUUAGAGCAGCCCAAGAUACUUGGCAUCCGUGAGACCCAUAGAUCAGCUAGUUUGAUUCCAUGUGAAGCCCUGGACAAAUAGCACAUGUAUCACAUGGGCGGCCCAGAGGUACCAUCUGUGUUGCGGUGCUGGUGCAGCGUCACAACAUGAUGGUGCCUAAGGCUGAGCCAAUGCAAGCAAACACAAAAUAGUGAAGUGGAACUAAAAUAGGUAUUUGGGGGAACAUCAGUUGUAAGUUAUUCUCCAUGUCCACUCUUCUUCCUUUUAGCUACUUUAUCCCCUCCCUUGAAAUUUUAUGGGCUGCUGGGUGCAAUUCUCCUUAUAAUACCGAGACUCAUACAAUAUGUAUUUGUUGGUGAAUUCUGCUGUUCUGGAGGUCCGCGGAUGUGUUUAUUCAAAGCUUUGAUGAGAAAUUUUGAUCAUUGUUGUUCAUCGGUGUCCAAUUAGGUUUAGUUUUAGAAAUCUCGAAUAUGUAUUUAUAAAAUAUUCAGAUGGAACAACUCAGAUUAAACUAUCUAAAAAUUCUGGGCCCCCUCUAUAAUAGUUGCAUGAAUAGAAGUGAGGAGACUGAGUGUUAGUAGGUCAUAAGUACCUUACUAUAUUCCCCUUCAUUACUGCUUUGUUUUGGUUGAACACCUCGCAACCGUCGCUCCUCCAAGUCUGAACUCCACCGCCGUGGCUCGCAUGACACAUCGGUGAUAAUGUGUUUGGUUGUAAUUGUACACCACACACGUAAUCAUGAGUAUGUCUUUCCUGUGGCACCAGAGUUCCAAUUUUGUUGUAGAUUUAUCUUUUUCACGAAUCCGUUGUACAAAUGUUCAUUGGUUGGAGGAACAGGAGUGAAUUCCUGGUUUAAAAAAUUGAUAAUGUCGAUUGAUGUGCAUGAUGAUCCUCCAUGUAUAAUAUGUAUGCCCUGGUUCCGGUAUUUUUCUUUAGUUAACUGUUGGUCAGUUCGCCAAGAAGCUUUGUAUUCCUGUUAACUAUUCCUUUGGGCGACAGUAGCUUUUCUUUUGUUUCUCCAACCUAUUUCAUAAUGUAAACAAUUUUCACACUAACUCUUAAAAUUUUGGAUGACUUCGUUUCAGAUCUUCAGCCUCAAUUGGUUGGCCCAUUUAUGCUUUGCAAGAUUUAUUUAUGCCGUUUCCUCCCAAGAGUAAUAAUUUCGGUUUCAGAUGUGCUAAAAUUCUCAUCGUCACAAACCUUUCAAGCAAUGCUUGAGGAUUGACUGGAUGUAUUGAGCUCAAAUUUUGGAUGCCAAUUUGGAUACUCAGAUUACACGACCAUCUGUGCAUGCAUAGAUGAGAUGUUUUUUCAUGGAAUGUUUUGACGUAUGGUGGUUUUUCAUACACUCUUUUCAUUUUUUAUCUGGCUAGGGUGAACAAUACUAUCUAGGUGAUUGUGAAAAUGCAGGCUACAGUACUAAAUUUUCAUAAGGUUUGUGAAAAUACAAUUUUCUACACUAAGGAUGUGCCAUGGCAGAGUUAAGUUGGUUAGUACAUUAGUGGGUGUGUUAUGUAUUCGCAAGGUUAUGUCCAGUAUAAUACUUAAUUCCUUGUAACCAUAAAUGUGAGCUAGGAAGAAUAAAAUUUGUGCUUUAUUGAA
Triticum dicoccoides is the source of this 2890-nucleotide long non-coding RNA. RefSeq lists it as uncharacterized. The transcript is spliced from 9 exons. NCBI's taxonomy places the organism in Eukaryota, Viridiplantae, Streptophyta, Magnoliopsida, Poales, Poaceae. The record is from RefSeq and is a predicted model, not a curated record.